RNAcentral lists this transfer RNA (61 nucleotides) under Pontia edusa. RNAcentral's name for it is "tRNA-Cys". RNAcentral also lists the same sequence under 1 other name. Lineage: Eukaryota; Metazoa; Arthropoda; Insecta; Lepidoptera; Pieridae. The record is from RNAcentral.
AGUCUUAUAUUCAAAAUGAUAUAAAAUUGCAAAUUUUAAGGUGUAAUAAUUACUAAGGCUU